RNAcentral lists this ribosomal RNA (404 nucleotides) under uncultured Clostridia bacterium. RNAcentral's name for it is "bacterial SSU rRNA". It matches the Rfam family "Bacterial small subunit ribosomal RNA", at positions 356 to 774 of the family's 1533-position model. The record is from RNAcentral. Lineage: Bacteria; Bacillati; Bacillota; Clostridia.
GGGGAAUAUUGGGCAAUGGGCGAAAGCCUGACCCAGCAACGCCGCGUGAGGGAAGAAGGCCUUCGGGUUGUAAACCUCUGUCCUUGGUGACGAAGAAAGUGACGGUAGCCAAGGAGGAAGCGCCGGCUAACUACGUGCCAGCAGCCGCGGUAAUACGUAGGGGGCGAGCGUUGUCCGGAAUUACUGGGCGUAAAGGGUGCGUAGGUGGCCUUUUAAGUUGGAUGUGAAAUACCCGGGCUUAACUUGGGGGGUGCAUCUAAUACUGGAGGGCUAGAGUGCAGGAGAGGGAAGCGGAAUUCCUAGUGUAGCGGUGAAAUGCGUAGAUAUUAGCAGGAACACCAGUGGCGAAGGCGGCUUUCUGGAGUUAAACGGACGCUGAGGCACGAAAGCGUGGGGAGCAAACA